This 30-nucleotide non-coding RNA is filed under the name Rattus norvegicus (Norway rat). Lineage: Eukaryota; Metazoa; Chordata; Mammalia; Rodentia; Muridae. The record is from RNAcentral.
UAGGUCCCUGUGACAGUAUUUGUCUUUUCC